UAGGGAAUCUUCCACAAUGGACGCAAGUCUGAUGGAGCAACGCCGCGUGAGUGAAGAAGGUUUUCGGACCGUAAAGCUCUGUUGUUGGUGAAGAAGGAUAGAGGUAGUAACUGGCCUUUAUUUGACGGUAAUCAACCAGAAAGUCACGGCUAACUACGUGCCAGCAGCCGCGGUAAUACGUAGGUGGCAAGCGUUGUCCGGAUUUAUUGGGCGUAAAGCGAGCGCAGGCGGAAGAAUAAGUCUGAUGUGAAAGCCCUCGGCUUAACCGAGGAAUUGCAUCGGAAACUGUUUUCUUGAGUGCAGAAGAGGAGAGUAGAACUCCAUGUGUAGCGGUGGAAUGCGUAGAUAUAUGGAAGAAUACCAGUGGCGAAGGCGGCUCUCUGGUCUGCAACUGACGCUGAGGCUCGAAAGCAUGGGUAGCGAACAGGAUUAGAUACCCUGGUAGUCCAUGCCGUAAACGAUGAGUGCUAAGUGUUGGGA
Molecule: ribosomal RNA, 480 nt
Filed under: uncultured bacterium
Lineage: Bacteria
Description: partial 16S ribosomal RNA
Rfam family: Bacterial small subunit ribosomal RNA
Source: RNAcentral